Molecule: transfer RNA, 81 nt
Filed under: Canis lupus familiaris (dog)
Lineage: Eukaryota; Metazoa; Chordata; Mammalia; Carnivora; Canidae
Also listed under: 1 other name
Rfam family: tRNA
About the family: Transfer RNA (tRNA) molecules are approximately 80 nucleotides in length.
Source: Rfam by way of RNAcentral
GCCUGGGUGGCUCAGUGGUUGAGCAUCUGCCUUUGACCCAGGGCGUAUCUUGGGUCUCGGGAUCGAGUCCCACCUCAGGCU